GUUUUUUAUAAAAACGCCACAAAAAUUAUUUCACUUAAAAAAUGCGCGGUUUUAUCCCUACAUUUUCUCCCUCUGAAACGCCUAAUUUUUUCCUUUAGUAUCCUCAAAACACCCCCCAAUCUCACACCUCCAUUGCUCUUUUCAAUCAAGAAACUGAGAUGGCAGUCUUGAUUUGGCAUCAAAUUGCUUCAGUCUUGAUUUGGUUUCUAGUUAUACUCUGAGAUAGAAGAGAUGGCAAUGAACCAGACGGCAGCGUUGAAGGUGGGGUUGUGUCUAUUGGGCUUCUGCUAUUCGGCUACACGUUCAUCUCCCUCCACAACAAAAUUAAACAAAAUAGAUAUCUCAGAGUAUUCGGCUUUUGACCCAUUCAAGGAGAAAAAUGGUGUUUCGCUAAAAGCUCUAAUCUUCUGUAAUAAAUUCACAACUGUGUUUUCAAACUCUUCGUCAAUGGAUUCCUUCCCAAGAUCUUUGAAUCCCAACAAGCACCUCAGAGAACAAUUCGUGAGCAAUUUGCUUGGAUCUUCCAUGCUUGAAGUCUCCGCUCUUUUGAAUAAUGUAGCUCUUCUAAUGCUUUUGCGGCACACUUUCUGCUCUCAGAUAGUGAAUGAUACUUGUAGGAGUUUAAAGUCUUACCUAACCUCAGUAGCUUUGGAUUAUGUCUUCAUUGUUCUACCCACACUCUUAAUUUUCACUGUUCUAGCGGAGUGGGUAUACAUAUGCAUAAUUGGGUUAUUGUUCUUGCUGAUCUUCUUUACUGCAGUCAAAAGAACUUACUCUUUGCCUUACAUGGAAGGACCUAAUGCUUCAAGGGCAAGCAUAUCAUCUUAUAAGGUUGUUACGAUGUUCAUCACAUGCUUGUGUAUCUUGGCUGUUGACUUCAGAAUAUAUCCUAGAGAAUAUGCUAAGACAGAGACUUACAUGACUAGCUUGGGGUACGAAUGUCAUAAGCAGAAACAAGGAGGGAAUUUUUAGCUUAUUUGGAUUUUAACGUUGCUUAUAGACUGAUAUGUUGAAAGAAUUUCACGUAGAAUGUGCAACCUGGCUUAUGUUACUUGGGUGGUGGCUCAAAAUCUACAUGUUUUGCAAUUUCUUCUUCUUCUUCCUCUCUUUUUGAAAUUUCUUGAAACACAUUUAUCCAGGAUAGGAAGGAGAUGGCAUCAGUGCUUUAUACUUAUCCCAGCUGUGUCAAAGCACUUCCUCAGGGGGUAUGUUGGAAUUCACAGUUUGGGAUUCAGAAACUUGCUGCUG
Molecule: RNA transcript, 1248 nt
Organism: Gossypium arboreum
Lineage: Eukaryota; Viridiplantae; Streptophyta; Magnoliopsida; Malvales; Malvaceae
Gene name: GPI-anchored wall transfer protein 1-like
Exons: 14
Source: RefSeq, a predicted model, not a curated record